UGUGCACUGAUGCGUGACUUGAACCACCCCCACCCAGGCCUGUUUGGGCCCCCGAUUUAGUGCAAAAAAAAAAAAAAAUAUAUAUAUAUAUAUAUAUUUAUAAAAGAGGUUGCACUUGGCCCGUAUUAAACCUGAUUUGUUGCCAUUUUUGCGGCAGCUAUAUAAAAGAGUGAGCUUGCCCAAACCCCAAUGGCCAUAAAAGUGGAAGUGAGCUGGACCGGGAUGAUCUGAUUGUUUCGGGAAUCCUUGCAUUGGCGGAUCGACCGGAUCGCUCCUUUUCGCAUCUAUAGUACCGAUAUAAGGCGGCAAUAGCGGAGCUGGUUGUUCCGCUACUCGGCCGGAGAAAAUGGGAAAUCCUGGGAACAGUUCAGACUCAGGCAAAGAUCUUCACGCGGCCGCAAGAUCCGGCGACCUUCUCUCUGUUCAAACAAUCUGCAGCACAAAUCCAUUAGCUAUCAAUUCAAGAGAUAAGCACUCAAGAACUCCGUAUCCUAUUUUUUAGCUAUUUUUCCAAUGUAAACAGUCUACUCGCCUAGAUCGGCCUAUUUAGAUUAAAGAAGAGGUCAAGAGGUUAUGCUGGUUUUUGUAAAUGAUUUGGUGACAGGGGCAAUGAUUGGCUUUGGUAGGGUUCGUAGCGGUCUGUAUUUGCUUGAUGAUGACUCGGCGUUGGUCGCUGGUCAUGUUCUUCAGACAUCUUGAUGGGGACAUCCAUGUAUACUAGCGGUGUAGACUCAAGACCCAGCCACGUGUGCAUUCUAUUUGGCUGGAGGAAAGCUAGAAGAAAGAAGAAGGAAGAAAGCAGAAGGAAGAAAGAAGGAAAGAGAGGGAGUCGAACCAGCCUUUCCGACACUAGGUUCAACCCCCCCUCUUUUCUCCCAAUCGGCAGAUACUUGUGGACCCCACCAGAUUCUGUUUUUUUUUUUUUAGUAAUUUACUUUAGUUCAUAGUGUUAUUUAACUGUUUUGAAUAUUUAGGUAACUAGUUAUUUCUGUC
This is a long non-coding RNA of Macadamia integrifolia, 993 nucleotides long. RefSeq lists it as uncharacterized. The transcript has 2 exons. Lineage: Eukaryota; Viridiplantae; Streptophyta; Magnoliopsida; Proteales; Proteaceae. The record is from RefSeq and is a predicted model, not a curated record.